GAGUUUGAUCCUGGCUCAGAACGAACGCUGGCGGCAGGCCUAACACAUGCAAGUCGGACGCUCCGCAAGGAGAGUGGCAGACGGGUGAGUAACGCGUGGGAAUCUUCCUAUCGGUACGGAAUAGCUCAGGGAAACUUGGGGUAAUACCGCAUACGCCCUUCGGGGGAAAGGAUUUAUCGCCGAUAGAUGAGCCCGCGUCUGAUUAGCUAGUUGGUGAGGUAAUGGCUCACCAAGGCGACGAUCAGUAGCUGGUCUGAGAGGAUGACCAGCCACACUGGGACUGAGACACGGCCCAGACUCCUACGGGAGGCAGCAGUGGGGAAUAUUGGACAAUGGGCGCAAGCCUGAUCCAGCCAUGCCGCGUGAGUGACGAAGGUCUUCGGAUUGUAAAGCUCUUUUGCCAGGGACGAUAAUGACGGUACCUGGAGAAUAAGCCCCGGCUAACUUCGUG
RNAcentral lists this ribosomal RNA (451 nucleotides) under uncultured Hyphomicrobium sp. Its description in RNAcentral is "bacterial SSU rRNA". It matches the Rfam family "Bacterial small subunit ribosomal RNA", at positions 9 to 507 of the family's 1533-position model. The record is from RNAcentral. Lineage: Bacteria; Pseudomonadati; Pseudomonadota; Alphaproteobacteria; Hyphomicrobiales; Hyphomicrobiaceae.